GCCUCGUUGGUGUAGUCCGGUCAAUCAUCCGGCCCUUUCGAGGCUGGGACCUGGGUUCAAAAGGCGAAGGCAAGAAGAAAGUAAGGCAAUGUUGAUAAUUCGUCGUAGAUCAGCAACAAACCGCUAAGAACCUUACCUUCCCUUGAAAGUCCCAGACGAGGCA
This 163-nucleotide transfer RNA is filed under the name Candidatus Woesearchaeota archaeon. Its description in RNAcentral is "tRNA-Glu". Lineage: Archaea; Nanobdellati; Candidatus Woesearchaeota. The record is from RNAcentral.